CCCCCCCCACUCCAGCCUUCUGCGCGGUGCACACGAAUCUACGGUUGCUCAUCAUGCUCUCGGGUAUUCAAGCCACGCCCCUAGAGACCGCCAAUCAACAAGACGGCGUGCAAGGCAGCUCGCAGGCGGGGUUUGCGAAGCGAUCGCAACGGCGGGGCCCUCCUGGUGAAAGGAUGUUUCGGGAAUAUCGGCGUCGGAGGACUGCGGGACCAGCAGGACUAAACCACCUGCCCUUUGACCCUGGCAAUAGCAAACCUCUGCCAUUCAAUAGCAGCCCUGCUGAAAAUGGAGGCGAGGCAAGCCAGAAACGGAAGAGGAUAAAUUUGCCUACAGACAGCAUCCCAAAUCUGAAUCUAGAGUCUCCUCCAAUGGAUUUGGGCAUGUCAGACCCAACAGCCUGGACCACUGCAAUGAAUAACUUGGGGAUGGCACCAAUGGGAAUAACAGGAGAUCCUCUUUUGCCUGACUUCGACCCUGCGCUUGGAAUGAUGACUGGGAUCCCACCAAUCAGUCCCUUGAUGCCUGGCUUGGAAAUAGUGCCACCACCAGUGAUUAAGGAGAUCAUACAUUGCAAAAGUUGCACACUCUUCCCACCUAACUCAAAUCUCCCUCCUCCCACCACAAGGGAAAGACCUCCUGGAUGCAAGACGGUAUUUGUUGGAGGACUGCCAGAAAAUGCAACAGAAGAGACUGUUGUGGAGAUUUUUGAGCAGUGUGGAGAGAUCUUAGCGCUUCGGAAAAGCAAAAAGCACUUCUGCCACAUCCGUUUUUCUGAGGAAUACAUGGUGGACAAGGCUAUUUAUUUGUCUGGAUAUCGCAUCAGGCUGGGCUCCAGCACUGAUAAAAAGGACACAGGGCGCCUGCAUGUGGAUUUUGCUCAAGCCCGGGAUGAUUUCUACGAGUGGGAAUGCAAGCAGCGGAUGCUUGCCCGGGAAGAGCGUCAUCGGAGAAGGAUGGCAGAAAAGCAGUUCCACCCUCCCUCCCCACCUCCUGUUGUCCACUAUUCGUAUUAUGAGUGCAGUAUUGUUGCUGAGAAGCUAAAAGAUGAUUCCAAGUUUUUGGAAGCGGUGCAGACACUGUUGGCCUGGAUAGAGCGUGGGGAAGUGAACAGACGGACUGCAAACAACUUCUACUCAAUGAUCCAGUCGGUCAACAGCCACAUCCGCCGGCUUACAAAUGAGAAAGCAGUCCAUGAAAAGGAAAUGGAAGAAGCAAAGGAGAAGUUCAAGGUUGCACUCUCAGGAAUUCUUGCUCAGUUCGAGCAGAUAGUGGCCGUGUACCAUUCUGCAUCCAAACAAAAGGCUUGGGACCAUUUCACGAAAGCGCAACGUAAGAACAUCAGCGUAUGGUGCAAGCAAGCUGAGGAAAUCCGCAACAUUCAGAAUGAUGAGCUGAUGGGCAUCCGACGAGAAGAGGAAAUGGAAAUGUCUGACGACGAGACAGAACCAUCAGAUGCCAAGGAGAUGGAAGAGUCAGCUCUAAUAUCUCAAGCAGAAGCUCUGAAGGAAGAAAAUGACAGCUUAAAAUGUCAGCUUGAUGCCUACAGGAAUGAGGUGGAUCUCUUAAAGCAAGAGCAGGGCAAAGUGGACAGAGAUGAAGACAUAAGCAAAGACCAGAAAUUAAAGAUUCUCCAGCAGGCUUUGCAAGGCAUGCAGCAGCAUCUCCUGAAACUCCAAGAUGAAUGUGAAAGAAGAGAUGCUGAACUGGAAAAAGUCAAUGAAGAAAAAGCACAACUCGACAAAUUGCUUGAAAGCCUAAAUGAAAAGCAAGAGCUGGCUUCUGGACCAGAAUGGGGGAAAGACUCCAAUGAUCAAGACCACGUGAGUUUCGCCAACGACUUUUCACCAGCUUGCUCAGUGUGCCAGGAGAAGGAGAGCACACUUGAGAGAGGACUCAACAGCAGCCCUAUCAAAUCAGAAAGGGAAGCUUUGCUAGUGGGAAUAAUCUCAACCUUCUUGCACGUUCACCCUUUUGGAGCGAGCAUUGAAUACAUCUGUUCCUACCUCCAGCGCCUUGAUAGCAAGGAAAUAGAUAUAUUCCAGCUGUAUUGCAAGUGAUUGAUACGAAACUUUGUACCCAACUUUUAUAUGGCACCCCAGUGUGGAUUUCAGGUGACCUUAAGAGGUUGGAUAAAUUCCAUGCAUCUCUUCUGAGAUUUGUGCUAGUGAAGUGGAAGCCCUCAUGAUGCGACUCCAGCACACUUUCAAGCAGGAGAUGAGUGGUGUUGGAGCAAGCCUUGAAAAAA
Molecule: RNA transcript, 2245 nt
Organism: Podarcis raffonei (Aeolian wall lizard)
Lineage: Eukaryota; Metazoa; Chordata; Lepidosauria; Squamata; Lacertidae
Gene: ENOX2
Gene name: ecto-NOX disulfide-thiol exchanger 2
Exons: 16
Source: RefSeq, a predicted model, not a curated record